Molecule: ribosomal RNA, 460 nt
Filed under: uncultured bacterium
Lineage: Bacteria
Description: partial 16S ribosomal RNA
Rfam family: Bacterial small subunit ribosomal RNA
Source: RNAcentral
CCUACGGGAUGCAGCAGUGAGGAAUAUUGGUCAAUGGACGAGAGUCUGAACCAGCCAAGUAGCGUGAAGGAUGACUGCCCUAUGGGUUGUAAACUUCUUUUAUAUGGGAAUAAAAUGUUCCACGUGUGGGAUUUUGUAUGUACCAUAUGAAUAAGGAUCGGCUAACUCCGUGCCAGCAGCCGCGGUAAUACGGAGGAUCCGAGCGUUAUCCGGAUUUAUUGGGUUUAAAGGGAGCGUAGGUGGAUUGUUAAGUCAGUUGUGAAAGUUUGCGGCUCAACCGUAAAAUUGCAGUUGAAACUGGCAGUCUGGAGUACAGUAGAGGUGGGCGGAAUUCGUGGUGUAGCGGUGAAAUGCUUAGAUAUCACGAAGAACUCCGAUUGCGAAGGCAGCUCACUGGACUGCAACUGACACUGAGGCUCGAAAGUGUGGGUAUCAAACAGGAUUAGAUACCCGAGUAGUC